RNAcentral lists this ribosomal RNA (507 nucleotides) under Triticum aestivum (bread wheat). RNAcentral's name for it is "partial small subunit ribosomal RNA". The record is from RNAcentral. Lineage: Eukaryota; Viridiplantae; Streptophyta; Magnoliopsida; Poales; Poaceae.
AUGCAUGUUGAUACUAUAAUGGAAUCUCGUGAUGCAACAUUUUUUGAGAACAUAUUUCCUAUGAAAGAUAUGCAUAGCAUUGCUAGAUUUUCUUCUGAGAUAAUUCCUGAAUCUAGUACAACUGAUGAAUAUUUCGAACAAUCACAUGAGGAAGUCCUUGAGAAGGAUAACAAUGAAGUUCCUAGAAGGAACAAGAGACAAAGGAUUGCAAAAUCCUUUGGUGAUGAUUUCAUUGUAUACCUUGUGGACGACACACCCAAGACGAUUGCAGAAGCAUAUGCAUCUCCGGAUGUAGAUGAUUGGAAAGAAGCUGUUCAUAAUGAGAUGGACUCAAUUCUUUCUAAUGGAACUUGGGAACUAACUGAUAGACCAUAUGGUUGUAAACCUGUGGGCUGUAAGUGGGUGUUCAAAAAGAAGCUAAAGCCUGAUGGUACUAUUGAUAAGUACAAGGCGCGGCUAGUGGCCAGGGGCUACACUCAGAAAGAAGGCGAAGAUUACUUUGACACC